RNAcentral lists this ribosomal RNA (249 nucleotides) under uncultured prokaryote. RNAcentral's name for it is "partial 16S ribosomal RNA". It matches the Rfam family "Bacterial small subunit ribosomal RNA", at positions 524 to 772 of the family's 1533-position model. The record is from RNAcentral.
UACGGAGGAUGCGAGCGUUAUCCGGAUUUAUUGGGUUUAAAGGGUGCGUAGGCGGACAAAUAAGUCAGUGGUGAAAUCACUCAGCUUAACUGAGUAACUGCCAUUGAUACUGUUAGUCUAGAAUGUAAAUGGAGUAGGCGGAAUGAAUCAUGUAGAGGUGACAUUCAUAGAUAUGAUUCAGAACACCGAUCGCGAAGGCAGCUCACAAAGCCAAGAUUGACGCUGAGGCACGAAAGUGUGGGGAUCAAA